This is a long non-coding RNA of Grus americana (Whooping crane), 418 nucleotides long. RefSeq lists it as uncharacterized. The transcript is spliced from 3 exons. Lineage: Eukaryota; Metazoa; Chordata; Aves; Gruiformes; Gruidae. The record is from RefSeq and is a predicted model, not a curated record.
GCGCUGCUGGCGCUGGGCUCGCGCCGCGCUGCCAGGCCUGCGGCUGGGGAGCCAGCAGCCGUGCAAAAUCAGAGUGCAAGACGGAGAUAAUGAGAAUGAUACCAGGAAUUGGAGCCUCAGAUCCGUCUACGCUGGGACUUUCGUGCCAGGCUAAAUAAUCCCAGCUCUCAAUCUCUCCUUGGAUGAUGGAUACUCCAAGCCCUUAACUAUCUUCGUGGCCCUGGGCUGGACCCACUUCAACCUGCCCAGGUCUCUUGGCCUGGGAGCCCAGGGCUGAGCAGAGGGGAAGGACCACCUCCCUUCACCUCGGCCCUACGCACCGAGGAGGAUGUAUCUGCUCAUGGUACCACUCGUAGACCUUCACGCCAGCAGCUGGUUACCAACGCUUUCACACAAGAAUAUCCAUCACACUCCUUUU